AAGUCGUAACAAGGUUUCCGUAGGUGAACCUGCGGAAGGAUCAUUAACACAAGUAAAAAAAAAACAUUUUACAACACCCUAUUAUGAAUUUAAAUUUUUUAAUUUUAAUUUUUUUAUAAAACUACAAAAAAAAUAUUUAAUUUAUUUGACUAACAUUUUUUAAUUAAUUUAUUUAAAAUUUUAUAAAACAACUCUUAACAACGGAUAUCUUGGCUCUC
This 218-nucleotide unclassified non-coding RNA is filed under the name fungal sp. Its description in RNAcentral is "partial internal transcribed spacer region". The stretch from base 1 to 46 matches the Rfam family "Eukaryotic small subunit ribosomal RNA", at positions 1786 to 1831 of the family's 1831-position model. The record is from RNAcentral. Lineage: Eukaryota; Fungi.